UGAAGGUCCAUCCUCAUUGGCUAAGUGAUUUGCAUUAUGUAAACAUAGAAAAAUUUCAUUACUGCCUUGUAGGAACUUAAAUUAGAAGAAAAACCAAACUCACAGAAUGCAGCGGCGGCAGCAGUAGCAGAAUAAUAGUAUUCUGAAAAAGGGUUGGACUUACUGCCACAAAAUUCUGAUUAUAGACUUGGCAGUCACUCAUUCUCUGCGUCCAGCCUUCAGCUUUUGGAGGCUGCUUUCUUCAUUUGCAAAAUGGAGACUAGAAAACAACAAAACAAGACAAAACAAACAACAAACAAAAAACCACUAAUGCAUGAGGUCUGAAAAACAAAGGUGGGAUUGCUGAGAGUGAAGGGAAGAAUAAUGAGCCAAGGAGUUCAAGACCAGCCUGGGCAACAUGGUGAAAUGCUGCCUCUAUGUAAAAUUUAAAAAGUAAGCUGGACAUGGUGGCAUGCACCUGUUAUUCAGUAGGCUGAGGUGGAAGGAUAGAUUGAGCCUGAAGGCUGCAGUAAGCCAUAAUUGUGCCACUGUACUCCAGCCUGAGUGACAGAACAAGACCCUGUCUAAAAAAAGAAAGAAAAAGAAAAGGUUAGCACUGUUGGGGAUUAGCCAGGUGUCACCAAAGAUCUGAUUUAUAAUUAAACUAUACUUGCUUGCUUCUUUGUCACUGCGAUGACAGUUCCUCUCAGCAUGUUUACUCGUCUUCAGGGAGAAGGAAGUAAAGAGGCUCCAAGAGAUAUUAAUCUGUUAGAGUCCAAGAGGUUUUUUGUUUUUGUUUAAUCUCACAGGAAUGCAAGCUUUAACCACGAGUUUGGGAAUCAUAAAACUUGUGGCCG
RNAcentral lists this long non-coding RNA (836 nucleotides) under Homo sapiens (human). Its description in RNAcentral is "non-protein coding lnc-RABEP1-2:1". The record is from RNAcentral. Lineage: Eukaryota; Metazoa; Chordata; Mammalia; Primates; Hominidae.